CGUAUGGAUAAUAUAUGAUCAUAGGGGCGAAGCAACCUCGACAAAAUGAGAGGACACUAAGUCCAGCUAACCGAGCUUUUAGCUAUACCAGAUCGGUAACCGAGAUCAUUGAACGAGAUACAAAAACAUAUACCUUACAGAGAUCCUAAAUUCUGAGAUACCAAUAUCGAACUAUGAAUAAACCAUACCUAGCAUCACCACGAUGAUAACAUGACUUACUCUCCGGCGUUCGCACCUAGAUCCCGAGCUACAAAUACCGAGAUAUAACGCGGGACCUACUUAAUAGAGUAACACCAAGAUUCCGAGAUACAAAAUACCGGGAUAUAACACGGACCUACUUAACAGGGGAAAAAGAACCACGAGACAUGGUCUAUAUAAGUCACGCUAUGGGGAAACCCUAAGGUACUUCUUUCUAUUCACUUAAUAUUACUCUUUCUCUUCUUCUUCUUUCCCCUAGUACAAAGUUUGACUUGAGCGUCGGAGCGAACGCCCGGAGACCCCCUCCGGCGUUCUUUCUGACCUCUGUUUAUUGGUGUUUGCAGGCUUUAGCGGAUCGGAUCUAUUUGGUGAUUUAUCACUUGGCGCCGUCUGUGGGAAAUCGAUUUGAUUCCCUUUUUUGGUUACUGUCAAGAGAAGCGGAUCAUCGACUGAGAAACACAUCUACGCGGCUAAGAGAUGUACUGAAAUGGAAGGAAUGAUUCAAGCUCGUUUCUGGAAAAUGAUAAACAUGAUGCAUCAGAGAUCUUCUUCGAUCCUCAUAUGGGUUUAUCCCAAAAUAACAGAGAAUCAUCCCCUGGUGUUGGCGGACAAUGGGUUUCACAGGAAAUAAAACAGAUGGAAAGCUUCUACAAGACCACUGGAAAUGCCUAGCUGAUGUGGAUCUCUCGAUCUAUUAUGCUAAGGAGAGGGAAAGACACAGAUUCGAAAUUCUUUCAAUGGGUAUACUGGAAUAGAGGAGAUCCGGCAAUGGGUUUUUCUUAAGAUGAAAAACAUUUAAAUGCUCUCUGAUUUCAACUUAAAAAUGGAAUCAGCUAAGUCUUCUUUUCUAAAACUUUCUCUCUAUGAACUGUUGAAAUACAUCUGUAUCUAAGAGAUAUGAGAUUUUACAUAGGAGAGCACAACGGGAAAAAUGUUUUCUCGCUGGCAGCAUCUUCGUCGAUAAUGAAUCGAAGAGCAAGGAUAUUCCACCAACAGAAGUGCACGAGGAGAUGAAAAUUUUCAACGUGGAGAUGGUGAACAUAAACGAGGAUGAGUUAGAUCCAACUCAUCCCAUAGAGCAAGAAACUAAAUCAUUAAAUGGAGAAGAGCUGGGUAACAUUGAAUGCGGUGGAUUCAGCAUGUAAACUGUUUGUUAAAAUGCCAGAAAAAUGUUGCUUCUCAGAGUAGGAUUCUUUUGAGGUUUUGCUCAACCUGGACAGAAUAUUUUCGAAACAAGUCGCAGCUCUUGAACUCCAGGCUGAAGAAUUCCGAGCUUUACUUUUGAACUCAGAGGUGUAAAUGAAUUUGACAGCACUGGGUUUGUGAUUCCUGGGUCGAACCAGACCCAUCAUGGAGAGAGGACAGGUUUUUAACGAACGCAAGGAAAGUGUUUGAUAAUAUGCCUCAAAGAAAUAAAGUUUCUUCGACAUCAAUGGUUACGGGUCUGGUUCAAAAUGGAAAGCGCAAAAGAUAAGUGUUUAAUCUCUUAUUUCGCAAUUCAUUUUCAGUGGAAGCGGUAGAUUUAAUGGUUUACACUACCACCAUUUGGCAUACACUUUGAAGUUAUCUUGAUCAUUACUAGAUUGAGCCUUUAAGAUAUAUACAUAUCCAAUAUUUGAAAACAGUGAUCAUUAGAGCACUAUAAUGCUCUCAUCUUUAAUCGGUGAACGUAAAUCUCUGUGUUUUUAUAGUCGCAUUCACCCAAUUGCUCUAAUUUUGCAUUGAAGACUCCCACAAGACUCUAUCUAGCUGUAUACAAGAUAAUAACUAUCUGCUUAUAUUUCUUUUUGGCAGUUUUGUUUAACUUUCAAAGCUGCACAACAUAUGACUAAGCUGCUGAGUAUUGAGCAACCUCAGGUGUUACAAUAGUCAUAAACCCACAACAGAGGAACACGAGACAGUAGGGAGUUUCAUUGAGAGAGGAAGAGAUGAAUUCUUAAAGGCAGAAAUCAGCAGAAGAGAUGAAGGCCCUGUUUUCUCGCGGGUGACAUCUUCGUCGGUAGUAAAUCGAAGCAAGGAUGUCCCACCGAUAUAAUCGCGUGCGAAAAUGGAAAUUUCUAAAGUUGGGAUUCAAUGCAUAAACGACUAUGACUGGUUAGUCUCAGAGUGAUGCCUAAGAAUGAAACCGGAAAAAGUGCCUAAAGAGCGGAAAGCGCAACUUGUUUUCUUUUUAUCCGUUUUACACGGUACAUAAUUAUCGAGGCUCUUAAUGUGACGAAGUGGUCGAGUUUCCAUUCUUUAUUUCGGAAGUCUUAAUUUCAAGCACUUAUGGAAAGUCUUAUUCCUAUUUAAAGCUGUAGUAGUCGUCAGUGGUGGUAGACUUAGUUUUUUAUUUAAAAAAUUAUUUGACUUUAAUAAUAUUAUAAAUUUGUACACAUUAAAAAUAAAUUUUUCGAUGUAAUUUGUAAAGGAGUAUAAAAAUUAUUAUAGUUGUAUUUA
Molecule: long non-coding RNA, 2637 nt
Organism: Mercurialis annua (annual mercury)
Lineage: Eukaryota; Viridiplantae; Streptophyta; Magnoliopsida; Malpighiales; Euphorbiaceae
Exons: 3
Source: RefSeq, a predicted model, not a curated record